RNAcentral lists this ribosomal RNA (440 nucleotides) under uncultured bacterium. RNAcentral's name for it is "partial 16S ribosomal RNA". It matches the Rfam family "Bacterial small subunit ribosomal RNA", at positions 338 to 795 of the family's 1533-position model. The record is from RNAcentral.
CCUACGGGAGGCAGCAGUGGGGAAUAUUGCACAAUGGGGGAAACCCUGAUGCAGCGACGCCGCGUGAGUGAAGAAGUAAUUCGUUCUGUAAAGCUCUAUCAGCAGGGAAGAAAAUGACGGUACCUGAGUAAGAAGCCCCGGCUAACUACGUGCCAGCCGCCGAGGUAAUUCGUAGGGGGCACGCGUUAUCCGGAUUUACGGGGUGUAAGGGGAGCGUUGACGGCAGUGCAAGUCUGGAGUGAAAGGCGGGGGCUCAACCCCCGGACUGCUCUUGAAACUGUACGGCUGGAGUGCAGGUGAGGUAAGAGGAAUGCCUAGUGUAGCGGUGAAAUGCGUAGAUAUUAGGAGGAACACCAGUUGCGAAGGCGGCUUACGGGACUGUAACUGACGUUGAGGCUCGAAAGCGUGGGGAGCAAACAGGAUUAGAUACCCUUGUAGUC